UGCUUGUUCCAUUAAAAAGUGUCCCUUGCUUU
RNAcentral lists this non-coding RNA (32 nucleotides) under Mus musculus (house mouse). Lineage: Eukaryota; Metazoa; Chordata; Mammalia; Rodentia; Muridae. The record is from RNAcentral.